RNAcentral lists this ribosomal RNA (700 nucleotides) under uncultured bacterium. RNAcentral describes it as "bacterial SSU rRNA". It matches the Rfam family "Bacterial small subunit ribosomal RNA", at positions 1 to 699 of the family's 1533-position model. The record is from RNAcentral.
AAUACUGUUUGAUCCUGGCUCAGAACGAACGCUGGCGGCGCGCCUAACACAUGCAAGUCGAACGAGAAUCCGGGGCAACCCGGUAGUAAAGUGGCAAACGGGUGAGGAAUACAUGGGUAACCUGCCCUCGAGAAGGGAAUAACCCGCCGAAAGGUGAGCUAAUACCCUAUACGCUCCUUUUUCUAAGGAAAGAGAAGGAAAGCUAAGUCGUGGACUUGGCACUCAAGGAGGGGCUCAUGUCCUAUCAGCUUGUUGGUGGGGUAACGGCCUACCAAGGCAACGACGGGUAGCUGGUCUGAGAGGAUGAUCAGCCACACUGGCACUGAGAUACGGGCCAGACUCCUACGGGAGGCAGCAGUGAGGAAUAUUGCGCAAUGGGCGAAAGCCUGACGCAGCGACGCCGCGUGGGGGAUGAAGGUUUUCGGAUUGUAAACCCCUUUCGUGAGGAAAGAUAAAGUGGGUAACCACUUAGACGGUACCUCAAGAAGAAGCCACGGCUAACUUCGUGCCAGCAGCCGCGGUAAUACGAAGGUGGCAAGCGUUGUUCGGAUUUACUGGGCGUAAAGAGCACGUAGGCGGUUGGGUAAGCCUCUUGGGAAAUCUCCCGGCUUAACCGGGAAAGGUCGAGGGGAACUACUCAGCUAGAGGACGGGAGAGGAGCGCGGAAUUCCCGGUGUAGCGGUGAAAUGCGUAGAUAUCG